RNAcentral lists this ribosomal RNA (756 nucleotides) under uncultured organism. Its description in RNAcentral is "SSU rRNA". It matches the Rfam family "Bacterial small subunit ribosomal RNA", at positions 34 to 766 of the family's 1533-position model. The record is from RNAcentral.
CGCUGGCGGCGUGCCUAAUACAUGCAAGUCGAGCGGACCGAACGAGGGCUUGCUCUUGUUUGGUCAGCGGCGGACGGGUGAGUAACACGUGGGCAACCUGCCCGCAAGACCGGGAUAACUCCGGGAAACCGGAGCUAAUACCGGAUAACACCGAAGACCGCAUGGUCUUCGGUUGAAAGGCGGCCUUUGGGCUGUCACUUGCGGAUGGGCCCGCGGCGCAUUAGCUAGUUGGUGAGGUAACGGCUCACCAAGGCGACGAUGCGUAGCCGGCCUGAGAGGGUGACCGGCCACACUGGGACUGAGACACGGCCCAGACUCCUACGGGAGGCAGCAGUAGGGAAUCUUCCGCAAUGGGCGAAAGCCUGACGGAGCGACGCCGCGUGAGCGAAGAAGGCCUUCGGGUCGUAAAGCUCUGUUGUGAGGGACGAAGGAGCGCCGUUCGAAGAGGGCGGCGCGGUGACGGUACCUCACGAGGAAGCCCCGGCUAACUACGUGCCAGCAGCCGCGGUAAUACGUAGGGGGCGAGCGUUGUCCGGAAUUAUUGGGCGUAAAGCGCGCGCAGGCGGUUCCUUAAGUCUGAUGUGAAAGCCCACGGCUCAACCGUGGAGGGUCAUUGGAAACUGGGGGACUUGAGUGCAGGAGAGGAGAGCGGAAUUCCACGUGUAGCGGUGAAAUGCGUAGAGAUGUGGAGGAACACCAGUGGCGAAGGCGGCUCUCCUGGCCUGCAACUGACGCCUGAGGCGCGAAAGCGUGGGG